This 496-nucleotide ribosomal RNA is filed under the name uncultured bacterium. Its description in RNAcentral is "partial 16S ribosomal RNA". It matches the Rfam family "Bacterial small subunit ribosomal RNA", at positions 29 to 507 of the family's 1533-position model. The record is from RNAcentral.
AUGAACGCUGGCGGCGUGCCUAAUACAUGCAAGUCGAGCGAACGGACGAGAAGCUUGCUUUUCUGAUGUUAGCGGCGGACGGGUGAGUAACACGUGGAUAACCUACCUAUAAGACUGGGAUAACUUCGGGAAACCGGAGCUAAUACCGGAUAAUAUUUUGAACCGCAUGGUUCAAAAGUGAAAGACGGUCUUGCUGUCACUUAUAGAUGGAUCCGCGCUGCAUUAGCUAGUUGGUAAGGUAACGGCUUACCAAGGCAACGAUGCAUAGCCGACCUGAGAGGGGGAUCGGCCACACUGGAACUGAGACACGGUCCAGACUCCUACGGGAGGCAGCAGUAGGGAAUCUUCCGCAAUGGGCGAAAGCCUGACGGAGCAACGCCGCGUGAGUGAUGAAGGUCUUCGGAUCGUAAAACUCUGUUAUUAGGGAAGAACAUAUGUGUAAGUAACUGUGCACAUCUUGACGGUACCUAAUCAGAAAGCCACGGCUAACUACGUG